Molecule: ribosomal RNA, 2789 nt
Filed under: Escherichia coli
Lineage: Bacteria; Pseudomonadati; Pseudomonadota; Gammaproteobacteria; Enterobacterales; Enterobacteriaceae
Description: bacterial LSU rRNA
Rfam family: Bacterial large subunit ribosomal RNA
Source: RNAcentral
UUAAGCGACUAAGCGUACACGGUGGAUGCCCUGGCAGUCAGAGGCGAUGAAGGACGUGCUAAUCUGCGAUAAGCGUCGGUAAGGUGAUAUGAACCGUUAUAACCGGCGAUUUCCGAAUGGGGAAACCCAGUGUGAUUCGUCACACUAUCAUUAACUGAAUCCAUAGGUUAAUGAGGCGAACCGGGGGAACUGAAACAUCUAAGUACCCCGAGGAAAAGAAAUCAACCGAGAUUCCCCCAGUAGCGGCGAGCGAACGGGGAGGAGCCCAGAGCCUGAAUCAGUGUGUGUGUUAGUGGAAGCGUCUGGAAAGGCGCGCGAUACAGGGUGACAGCCCCGUACACAAAAAUGCACAUGCUGUGAGCUCGAUGAGUAGGGCGGGACACGUGGUAUCCUGUCUGAAUAUGGGGGGACCAUCCUCCAAGGCUAAAUACUCCUGACUGACCGAUAGUGAACCAGUACCGUGAGGGAAAGGCGAAAAGAACCCCGGCGAGGGGAGUGAAAAAGAACCUGAAACCGUGUACGUACAAGCAGUGGGAGCCUCUUUAUGGGGUGACUGCGUACCUUUUGUAUAAUGGGUCAGCGACUUAUAUUCUGUAGCAAGGUUAACCGAAUAGGGGAGCCGAAGGGAAACCGAGUCUUAACUGGGCGUUAAGUUGCAGGGUAUAGACCCGAAACCCGGUGAUCUAGCCAUGGGCAGGUUGAAGGUUGGGUAACACUAACUGGAGGACCGAACCGACUAAUGUUGAAAAAUUAGCGGAUGACUUGUGGCUGGGGGUGAAAGGCCAAUCAAACCGGGAGAUAGCUGGUUCUCCCCGAAAGCUAUUUAGGUAGCGCCUCGUGAAUUCAUCUCCGGGGGUAGAGCACUGUUUCGGCAAGGGGGUCAUCCCGACUUACCAACCCGAUGCAAACUGCGAAUACCGGAGAAUGUUAUCACGGGAGACACACGGCGGGUGCUAACGUCCGUCGUGAAGAGGGAAACAACCCAGACCGCCAGCUAAGGUCCCAAAGUCAUGGUUAAGUGGGAAACGAUGUGGGAAGGCCCAGACAGCCAGGAUGUUGGCUUAGAAGCAGCCAUCAUUUAAAGAAAGCGUAAUAGCUCACUGGUCGAGUCGGCCUGCGCGGAAGAUGUAACGGGGCUAAACCAUGCACCGAAGCUGCGGCAGCGACACUAUGUGUUGUUGGGUAGGGGAGCGUUCUGUAAGCCUGUGAAGGUGUGCUGUGAGGCAUGCUGGAGGUAUCAGAAGUGCGAAUGCUGACAUAAGUAACGAUAAAGCGGGUGAAAAGCCCGCUCGCCGGAAGACCAAGGGUUCCUGUCCAACGUUAAUCGGGGCAGGGUGAGUCGACCCCUAAGGCGAGGCCGAAAGGCGUAGUCGAUGGGAAACAGGUUAAUAUUCCUGUACUUGGUGUUACUGCGAAGGGGGGACGGAGAAGGCUAUGUUGGCCGGGCGACGGUUGUCCCGGUUUAAGCGUGUAGGCUGGUUUUCCAGGCAAAUCCGGAAAAUCAAGGCUGAGGCGUGAUGACGAGGCACUACGGUGCUGAAGCAACAAAUGCCCUGCUUCCAGGAAAAGCCUCUAAGCAUCAGGUAACAUCAAAUCGUACCCCAAACCGACACAGGUGGUCAGGUAGAGAAUACCAAGGCGCUUGAGAGAACUCGGGUGAAGGAACUAGGCAAAAUGGUGCCGUAACUUCGGGAGAAGGCACGCUGAUAUGUAGGUGAAGUCCCUCGCGGAUGGAGCUGAAAUCAGUCGAAGAUACCAGCUGGCUGCAACUGUUUAUUAAAAACACAGCACUGUGCAAACACGAAAGUGGACGUAUACGGUGUGACGCCUGCCCGGUGCCGGAAGGUUAAUUGAUGGGGUCAGCGCAAGCGAAGCUCUUGAUCGAAGCCCCGGUAAACGGCGGCCGUAACUAUAACGGUCCUAAGGUAGCGAAAUUCCUUGUCGGGUAAGUUCCGACCUGCACGAAUGGCGUAAUGAUGGCCAGGCUGUCUCCACCCGAGACUCAGUGAAAUUGAACUCGCUGUGAAGAUGCAGUGUACCCGCGGCAAGACGGAAAGACCCCGUGAACCUUUACUAUAGCUUGACACUGAACAUUGAGCCUUGAUGUGUAGGAUAGGUGGGAGGCUUUGAAGUGUGGACGCCAGUCUGCAUGGAGCCGACCUUGAAAUACCACCCUUUAAUGUUUGAUGUUCUAACGUUGACCCGUAAUCCGGGUUGCGGACAGUGUCUGGUGGGUAGUUUGACUGGGGCGGUCUCCUCCUAAAGAGUAACGGAGGAGCACGAAGGUUGGCUAAUCCUGGUCGGACAUCAGGAGGUUAGUGCAAUGGCAUAAGCCAGCUUGACUGCGAGCGUGACGGCGCGAGCAGGUGCGAAAGCAGGUCAUAGUGAUCCGGUGGUUCUGAAUGGAAGGGCCAUCGCUCAACGGAUAAAAGGUACUCCGGGGAUAACAGGCUGAUACCGCCCAAGAGUUCAUAUCGACGGCGGUGUUUGGCACCUCGAUGUCGGCUCAUCACAUCCUGGGGCUGAAGUAGGUCCCAAGGGUAUGGCUGUUCGCCAUUUAAAGUGGUACGCGAGCUGGGUUUAGAACGUCGUGAGACAGUUCGGUCCCUAUCUGCCGUGGGCGCUGGAGAACUGAGGGGGGCUGCUCCUAGUACGAGAGGACCGGAGUGGACGCAUCACUGGUGUUCGGGUUGUCAUGCCAAUGGCACUGCCCGGUAGCUAAAUGCGGAAGAGAUAAGUGCUGAAAGCAUCUAAGCACGAAACUUGCCCCGAGAUGAGUUCUCCCUGAC